Hipposideros armiger (great roundleaf bat) is the source of this 221-nucleotide long non-coding RNA. RefSeq lists it as uncharacterized. Lineage: Eukaryota; Metazoa; Chordata; Mammalia; Chiroptera; Hipposideridae. The transcript is spliced from 3 exons. The record is from RefSeq and is a predicted model, not a curated record.
GCGGGUUUGAACAGGGAGCUACAACAAGCUGAGUCAGAGACCAGUGGGUGGCAAAGAGUCCUAGAUUGGAGGCUGCAGAAAGUCAUGUGGACCUGGUCGAGACAGGAUGCUGAGUGCCGGGAACUGGCCCUGGAAGUCUUCCCUGAAGUCUGGGGAGGCUAAAUUUCCCCCUCGAUGCUCCCAGCGCCCCCACAGAGAAUCUCAUCAUGUCCAGGCGAGGA